Long non-coding RNA from Bos taurus (domestic cattle), 1172 nucleotides. Lineage: Eukaryota; Metazoa; Chordata; Mammalia; Artiodactyla; Bovidae. The record is from Ensembl.
GAAUGGCACCUGUAUGCAUAUAUUUUGAAAUUACAUCAAUGGUAUUGUGUUCUAUAAUUCACCCUGUUUCUUUUUUCACUAAGUUUUUCAGAAGCGUUCCUGGUACUAUGUGUACAUAUAAUCCUUUGCUUCUAAUCUCUGCAUGCUAGCUCUUUGCCAUCACCUCUAGAGCAGGUUUUAGGUUUUUCUGUGGGCGUGGUCCUCUUGUUUAGCUCCUCUUCACACCUGUGGUAACAGCCUCCAAGAUGGCCUCCAGUGAUCGCUGCUUCCUGGUGUUCAUGCCUUUGUCCCCAUAGAGAGGCCCACGUGUCAAGGCACUGAGGCCUCUUGCCAACAGCCACAUGAAUGAGGUCAGAAGCAGAUCCUGUAGGCCCAGUCAAGUCUUGGGAGACUACAGCCCUGGCUGCCAGCUUGACGGUAGCCUUCCCCAUAAGCCCCCCUGAGCAUCCAGAUUCCUGACCCUCAGAAGACAUGUGUGGAACUGUUCAUUGUUUUAACCCGCCACGUUUGGGAGUAACUUGUUACACAGCCAUUUAUAACCAUUAUCUCUCCCAUCACAGUGUCGUGGUUCACAGCUGAACUCUGAAACUAGGCUGUCUGGGCUUAACUCCUGGUUAGGCUACUUCAAGGCUGUGUGACUUUGAGCACGUGACUUAAUCUUUCGGUGCCUCAGCUUCCUCAGUUAUAAAAAUGGGGGACACUACUGUUACCUGCUUCCUCGGGUCAUGAGGAUUAAAUACAUACAUAAAAAGGGCUUAGCCAGGUGCCUGGCAUGUAAUUAGCAGUUGGUAAAUGUUGAUUGCUGCUGCUGUUAUGAUUCUGGCUGAUGGGAGAAGGUUGCAGAGACUGAAGAGGAGUUGAGGGAAACACUACCACAGCACCACGAUCAUGACUUCCAGAGAAGUAAGGGUGGGAUGAGUCUUUGCCAGUCCUCCUGAAACAGGUCCCUGUGGUUUUGCCUCCAGGCAGAGCAUGGCCAAGCUCUGUAUAUUGCAGGUGGGACCAUCCUGCCCAGGUGAGGAGAGGCAGCCCUUAGGAUGGCUCCAUGGAUGCCCAUUCUUGAGUGAAGCGGCCAUGAUUCUGAGCACGCAUCCUUGGGUUUUAAAAUCCCUGCUCCGGAAGAUGAAGUCAGAGAAUGCUUUAGAAAGGUUGGACUUUGACAUAUACACAGU